Molecule: RNA transcript, 3883 nt
Organism: Nymphalis io (European peacock)
Lineage: Eukaryota; Metazoa; Arthropoda; Insecta; Lepidoptera; Nymphalidae
Gene: Liprin-gamma
Gene name: kazrin
Exons: 19
Source: RefSeq, a predicted model, not a curated record
UCGCACGCUACGAAUUGCUACGUUACGUAGCCUUCACGUUCCUCGUACAUUAGGUGCACUACGCGCCCGUGUCUUACCUGUGACUGUGACGUUAACGAAUCAACUAGAAUUGUCAGUGAGCGGUGUAAGUGCUACAUUAGAAAAGUAAAAGUGCUCGCAGUACAUUAUACCAGAAAAUAAGCUCACUCUGCUCGUAGACAUUAAGAAGAAGUUAGGUGUGAUUAAGAAUACUUGUUUAUCGUUCGAGUUUGAUGGGAACCAUGCAGGAAGGCGCAGGUGGAUAGCAUGAGAGCGCCUGCCACGGCGGCCUAAUGGCGCUUGUGCGCCGGAUACUAGGCGACGCCCAGGCGAAACUUCGCAAAAUGGUAGACGAGCAAGUAUCAGUGGGCACGAGAGUUGAGGCGGAUGCAGAGCCCGAGCCAGCGGACCCACUGAUAACGCCCGCAUGUUCAGCCCUCGACAGAAGCGAUGACCCACGCCCUAUCCCGCCAGAACGUCGCCUCCUCAUCAGCACUCUUGACAAACCGCGCAACGGAUCGCUGAACGGGGACAAAGAGGGCACGUUGAAUAGGUCUACGCGACUCACGAUCAAGAAUGGGAAGGAUAAUCCAUUUAUAGUCUCCUCCCCUGAUGACGAUAACAAGGAAAACCAGGCAAAUGGUAAAAUAGAUUCACCGGUGAAAUGGUCCACACAGAAUGGAAGCGACAGUGGAACUUACGCUGAAAUAGGCACUGCUGGGAACAGUAACAGCGACAGGAAUGUUUUAGAUCCCGCUGAUAGCUCUGAAGAAGAAGUCCCAUUGCCAGAUGCAACUUCCCCCGGUAGGAGUAGCGAUGGACCGGAACCUAGAGCUGAUAUUACGGCUACGCUUGAAGGAGGUUCCGGUUCCCCGGGUGGGCGAUCGGAUCGGUCGCGGCAGGAAGAGGUGCCCGCGUCCCCGGGGAUGCUCACCGCAGCACAGCUGGCCCGCCGGCUACGUCUUGAAAACGAACGUCUGCAGGCGGAACUGACGCGUGUACGGCGUUUGUUGGUAGCGGCUGCGGAGAGGGGAGAGGCGGGGAGUGCUUUGAUAGAGCGGGCCCAGGGAGACGCACAAGAGGGCCCACCUCUCGAUCCGCAGCAGUUGGAAAAGGAGCUUCUAUUGGCUAGAGAAGCUGUUAAUUCUUUGAAAGCCGACAAGAAGCGGCUCAAAGCGGAGAAAUUUGAUUUGCUGAAUCAGAUGAAGCAAUUGUAUGCGACUCUCGAGGACAAAGAGAAGGAGCUCAGGGACUUCAUUAGAAAUUAUGAGCAGAUGCGGUCGCGCAGCGGCGCGUCAUCGGCGUUGGGUGCUGAGCGCGCAGAGCGUGAGCGCGAGCGUGCGGCGCUGCUGCGACACGCGCGCGACGAGGCGGAACGCUCGCUGCAGCUCGCCGCCGCGCUCAGUGCGCGCGACACGCAGCUGCGACACGCGAGGGAACAACUUUUCGAAGCUCGAAGACAGUUGCAAGCCGCCGGCUGCCUGUCGGAAGGCGAGAGUGUGGCGUCGCUCGGAAUCGGUCCGCCGAUGCUCCUCGGUGGGCCGUCAGGGUUGAUCGGAGACCGCGGCAGCUGCAGCGCUGACUCUGGAGUUAGAGCCUUGUCAGUGACAGGUAGUAGUGAUGGCGGCGCCACCUCCGUAUGCGGCGGGAACCUCUCCGACUCCACUGCGGAAGGAGUUCCUCCGACCAUCGAUCCCUACGACACGGAUGCCGCCUCACUCGUUUCUUCAGCUCAUCCUAUAUAUCAACUGAGCACUCCGCGCGACUGCAGCCCGACUCUGUCGCCACACAACAGCGCGUCAUCCUUCACUCGCUCGAUAGACGCAGGAUCUUUGUCCAGGUCAGUAGAGCAAUUAUCGAGCCCGGGAGAGUGCGACUCUGGUCUGGUGGGUAUGAGAUCUCGCGCAAGCGGCUCAAAGGCCGGAAGAGGUAGGGGUUCUGCUUGGGGCUCGAUUUCGCGCGUGUUUGCCCGCAGCCGACACCGCACCAAGUCCGGCAGCGCGGCCAGCAGUGGACACGAGAGCGAGCCAGUGUACGCGGGAACAGGUGCAGGUCGCGCGUGGUCGCCGCUCGGCAGCGAAGCGGCGCUGCGCGAGGCGGCGUCACUGCCGCUGUCGCGGUGGCGCGCGCCCGCCAUCAUCGCGUGGCUUGAACUCGCGCUCGGCAUGCCGCAGUACGCCGCCGCGGUGGCCGACAACGUCAAGAGCGGAAAGAUCCGUGCUUUGAAUGGGCAGGUUCUGCUCGAGCUGACAGACACGGACCUAGAGGUGGGCUUGGGGAUCGCUCAGCCGAUGCACAGGAAGAAGCUGCGCCUCGCCAUCGAGGAAAGAAGGAGACCCGACCUCGUGCGCAACCCCAGUGUGGGACAACUAACACACGCCUGGGUCGCCGCAGAAUGGUUGCCAGACCUCGGUCUUUCGCAGUAUGCUGAGUCGUUCUUAGCUAACUUAGUGGAUGCGAGAAUGCUGGAUACUAUCAGCAAGAAGGAAUUGGAAAAGUACCUCGGUGUCACAAGGAAGUUCCACCAGGCAUCCAUCGUCCACGGCAUACAUCUACUAAGGAUAAUGAAAUAUGAUAGACAAGCUCUAGCGGUACGACGACAUCAGUGUGAAAACGUGGACGCUGAUCCACUGGUUUGGACCAAUCAGAGGUUUAUACGUUGGGCGCACAACAUUGACCUAGGCGAAUUUGCAGAUAAUCUCAAAGACAGCGGUGUCCACGGUGGCUUAGUCGUUCUAGAGCCGUCUUUCACUGGAGAGACAAUGGCCACAGCUCUCGGAAUACCACCAUCAAAAAGUAUUAUCCGAAGACAUUUAGUUGCAGAGUUUGAUGCUCUGGUUAUUCCUGCGAGGUAUACGAUAUUUUGCCAGGUGGAAGAACUGCAAGUGGAGGCUGCCCGAGCAUCCAUGUUGUCCACAAAGCAAAGAUAAAUCCAAAAAGAUCAAAAAACUCUCCUUCAGAAAAUAAAUGUCGCUUCGAUGUCCUUUUACGAUCUGUACCUAUGUAAAAUUUUCCUCGUUAAAAUACAUUGUAAAAGUGCUAUUUUUACACGAAACUAAAUAUAGUUACUUUCGCUGUAUACUUUUAUAGGAGUUUCUUCAAAUUGCUCGUCUGUAAUUAUCUGUCCUAAAAUUUUACGAGCGGUGAAGACUGAUAUGUAAUAGUAGGUAAACGCGGUUCGCAAGUCAUGUAUAACGAAGUUCGUAAUGAACACCUUCGGAAAGAUCCCUUCGCCUUUGUCAAUGUUAGAUUCGAUGUUCUCUCCCCGAAACCUUCCUACGCGCUGUAGUUUAGAUUUGUCACAUUAAUGUUAUUCGAAAAAUGAUCAAUUUGAUAAUUUUAGUAAAGUAUAUAAAAUACGAAGUACGAGUAGUUACUAUCUCCGUAAACGCAUUAAAUGCUUUACGUUAUAGGGGUCAACGCGCCCCUCGUCACAUUACGAAAUUAUAUUUAGUAACUUAUAUUACGAAAUUAUACUUUCGUUUUUAAUUAUUACACAUUUUAAAACAUAAUAGAAUAUUUGAAUUUCAUUAAAUAUUAUUAGAUAUAAAAACGGAACCAUUCACAAUAGCUUUAGGAUUAUAACAAUAAAUAGUAUUUAUUAAUAUUGUAAGAUAACUAUGUUUUUGACUUGUAUACAUUCAUAUUGUAAAGUUGAGAACGGUGUAUUAGUAUUAUUGUAACGCUAUCGAUUGGCAUAUAAAUGUGAAUAAAUCCUUAUAAAAGAUAAAUCCUAAGGGAUAUCGAGCCAAUUUCUUUUCUUGACCAUCAUCCCUAAACUUGGCGAUCCUUGCAUCGAGACGGAACGGAAUAUGUUCGGCCAUCAAAUAAGGAUGUUGGGACGACCCUUUUCGAGAUCAGUGGC